RNAcentral lists this ribosomal RNA (253 nucleotides) under uncultured bacterium. RNAcentral describes it as "partial 16S ribosomal RNA". It matches the Rfam family "Bacterial small subunit ribosomal RNA", at positions 524 to 776 of the family's 1533-position model. The record is from RNAcentral.
UACGUAGGGUGCGAGCGUUGUCCGGAAUUAUUGGGCGUAAAGAGCUUGUAGGUGGCUCGUUGCGUCGGGAGUGAAAACCUGCGGCUUAACCGCAGGCCUGCUUCCGAUACGGGCGAGCUAGAGUUCGGCAGGGGAGACUGGAAUUCCUGGUGUAGCGGUGGAAUGCGCAGAUAUCAGGAGGAACACCGGUGGCGAAGGCGGGUCUCUGGGCCGAUACUGACGCUGAGGAGCGAAAGCAUGGGUAGCGAACAGG